AGUAGUGUCACUAAGAUUCUUCUACUAAGGAACUUACUUCCUCCACAGAUAGCAACAAACUUGGAAUUCUGAUCAUACUAUUUUGAAGUGGUUCUUACUCCAAAGAAAAUAAGUUAGCUCCAAUUGCAUAACUAGUUGCUUCAGUCCCAGUAAAACUCUCAACUGUGGACAAUAUCUCUGUAUCAAAAGUCUUAUCAAAAUCAUGAAUUGAACCAGCUGUUGUGGUGUUAAAGGGAGUCAUAUCUACUCCUCCGGAGGGUGUUAGUAUUGUUUCAUUUAUAUUUUCUCCAGUAUGCAUAUCAAAUCGAGGAUUCUCAGGUAUUAGAUUCCACUCAUCCUGUUGUUCUGGUUGGAUAUCAGUAUGCAAAUCGAAUCGAGAAUUCUCAGGCCCUUUUUGCAGAUCCUCUGAGGCAACAUGAGUUGUGCAGCUAUUCCAAUGUAUGGUGCCGACGACAAAUUGGAAAGGGAAAGAGGAAAGAGAUGAACAAGACAAAAGAAAAGAAUGUAAGUAUGUACCUAACUUGGGUCUUUG
Molecule: long non-coding RNA, 532 nt
Organism: Zingiber officinale
Lineage: Eukaryota; Viridiplantae; Streptophyta; Magnoliopsida; Zingiberales; Zingiberaceae
Exons: 3
Source: RefSeq, a predicted model, not a curated record